RNAcentral lists this long non-coding RNA (293 nucleotides) under Solanum tuberosum (potato). Its description in RNAcentral is "long non-coding RNA (STUB_LNC000210)". The record is from RNAcentral. Lineage: Eukaryota; Viridiplantae; Streptophyta; Magnoliopsida; Solanales; Solanaceae.
GGGUUUAGAAUUUCUUAUGGUUUCUUCGUUUAGGUUUUAGGUAUUCAGAUUUUAGGUUAAGUGUUUUUUAGAGUUUAUGGUUUUUUUUAGGUUUAUGAUUCUUAUGAUUAAGGUUUUUAAAUGUUUUAGGGUUUCUUAGGUUUUUUUAAGAAUUUGGAUUUCUUAAGAUUUAGGAUGUAGGCCUAAUAUAUGGCAUAGGAUUUUAAGUUUAGGGUUUUUUCUAGGGCUUAUGGUUUUAAAGGGAUUUUUUUUCCUCGGGUAUUGAAACGACCCCAAAAAUGUCCGAAAAUGUG